CUCUCGCGUUUCACAUUCCCAUUCCUUCCCUCUUCCCGAUCUAGAGCAGUGCAGCCGGAAGGUCGCUCGGGGCUGCGCCGACGGCGCGCGCCACCGGAGAACGUCGGGCUGCCCCCACCCCACCUAUUCCUCUCUUCAUCGGCAGAUCUCGGCCGGCGCGUUUGAGCGGCUGCGGGCCGGCGCGCUCGAGCAGCUCGUCCGUACAGUAGUAGCAGCAGGCUACCCCCGUGUCCGAUCCGCUGCUCCCUCGCCGUCCGGAGGUGGCUUCCGCCGCCUUCGCCCUCACCUCGUCGGCGGCCUCCGCCGUCUCCGCCUAGUCCAAGGCACGACCUGCCCCUAACCCUCAGUCCCUACCAUUUUGCUGCUCUACUGGUCCAGGGUCUGAAUGUCUUCUGUGAUGGCUUGUUGAUGGGCGCAUGUGCUUGGAGAGGGAAAGAAUCAGGGGAGAAAUUAAAUGGCUGCCGUGUGGGGAUCACGGGGAAGAACUUUGGCCAUGUUAUGAUGGCCCUUGCAGUGGAUGUUUUUCGUUUUGUGGGAGUGCCAGCGGCUCCACCAGACCCAAUUCUUGGGGUUUCAGAAGCCUUUUAAAGCAGAUAAAAAUGACAUGAAGCUCAAUCUUCGUGUUGUUGCCUAUAGAACAGAAGAGUUGUAGCCCUAUGUCCUCAAUGUAGUCAAGAAGGUUGAAAAUCUUAUGUUGGAGAAAGGAGAAAACAAAGAGUAUCUUCCUAUUGAAGGCUUAACAGCAUUUACCAAAGCAACUGCAGAGCUACUCCUUGGAUCUGACAACCCCGUCAUCAAGCAUGGACUGUUUCUGUAGCAAGUCAUCAACAAUAUGGAGUAGAGGAAGAGGACAUGGAUCUGGAGUUCUAGACAGUUUAUAAAUCAAAUGUCACAAGAACAAAUCUACAACUAUAGGGUUAAAGCAGCAGUGUACAUCCUUUUAGACAGUGAAAAAGUAUGGAGAUGCCCAUGCCGAGAGAAACAUGCACUGCAUGAAGACCUCUUACUUAUCCAUUGCUAAAAGUAAGCCAUCAACUUCACUAUUUCUUACCAUAAUCUUGCCGUAGGUUGUGCACCAGAAUUUUGUGGAAAUUAGCUGAAACAUGGCUUCCAGGAGGUAAUGUCAGGAUACUUAACUUAUACAAUGGAAACAUAUACUAUUGUGGUUGUUUGCGUUUGUAUGUCUGAAAUGCACCCGUAGCAUUAGCGCGGGCACUCUACUAUGUUGGAUAGGAUAAUAAGGAUGUUGAUGUUUAUGACUGUUUUAUGUUUUCCUAUGGUCAUGAUGUAUGUCAUGAAGUAAUUUCUGAAUGUGAUUCUGUAGCCAAAGUUUGGUCUGGAACCAUAUGAUGGCUUUGUAUGCCUGAAAUUUAUCUAUAGCGUUAGCACUUAAUUUUUUAAAAAAGGUUUCACAUGUUUGGAAGCAGCUAGGAAGCAUUGGCAAUAUUCAUGCUGUAUAUUGGGGAGGUGUAUGAGUUGAGAUUGAUUUCUUCUCUUUUCUUUCGUAUAUGAAACUAUAUUUACUUCGAUGGAUUUUCUUAACAGGAAUAAACUUUGGGACAUGCUCUGGUCAUGCUUUGGAAUUACACUUUGCAUCCGUAAAGGGAUCCUUGUGUUUGCGGUUUUGCCGUCCGAUUCAAAAGUAAAUGGAACAAAAAGUAAGUUUCAACUCUGGUUAAUAUUAUCUCUUUGUUGCAGGCGUACCUCAAAUACCACUAGAGGCCUCAAAAGAAAUGCUACAACGGGCGCUGGAUUUGCUGCAACAGAUGAGUACUCACUCUGUGUGUUGUUAUAUACAUUUAGCUGAAAUGUGGCUAAACCAAUAGGUGGUUACAUUACCUUUUUACGAUAGACUGAUAUUGUCUAUCUAUAAUACACUGAUGAUUGUAAGUUAGAGAUGGUAUACUUUCCAUAAGUCACUGCAUAUUUUGAAGACAAUAAUUAAUAAUAGCUUUCAUUUAGCCCACUUUUCAACCAGUCUAUGCAAUGAUCUACAGGUGGAUCAGUCAACUUCAGGACAUAUGUAUCCCACUGUGCUCUCUGCAAUGGUCCAUAGUUCUACUUAUUAGCAAGAGUGAUUCCCUGCUGACUAACCGUCUAAUAUAAACUGAUGUUUUGAGAUAUCUCCAAAGAUUACAAAUCUUUAAAAACUCAUUGGUAUUUCUCUAUUGUAUAAAAAUUAUGAUAUAGAUUUUAUAUUAUUGCAGCUGAAGGAAUUGCACUAUGAAAUUGAUGAUUGAAAAGCACGGGCAAUCAAGUAUUGACUAGAUAUGCUAAUUACUUCACUUCUUGAAAGGAUCAAGUUGUUAUUUUAUUUGAUCGAGCAAACCAGCACACACAAGCUGUAUCUGAAAUUUUUUUGAAAAACAGCACAGAAGGGAGAAGCCAUUGGUAAAAAGGCAAAAACAAGGUCAAGCAGAAUUCAAGGAAAACGAAUCCUUUUUUAUUCCUUUUUUGUUUGGUAAAAAAUAUCGUACUGUAUCGUGAGUUAAAACAAAAAGUUAAUCACUACCCCUGUAAAGUUUUGUUCGAUAGUUUUUAUUUUGUGAUAGUAAUCUUUUUUUCCCUCUUUUACGUUUAAUUGUUAGUUUUACCUUUUUA
Molecule: long non-coding RNA, 2601 nt
Organism: Panicum virgatum (switchgrass)
Lineage: Eukaryota; Viridiplantae; Streptophyta; Magnoliopsida; Poales; Poaceae
Exons: 8
Source: RefSeq, a predicted model, not a curated record